RNAcentral lists this ribosomal RNA (250 nucleotides) under uncultured bacterium. Its description in RNAcentral is "partial 16S ribosomal RNA". It matches the Rfam family "Bacterial small subunit ribosomal RNA", at positions 779 to 1026 of the family's 1533-position model. The record is from RNAcentral.
UAGAUACCCUGGUAGUCCACGCCGUAAACGAUGAUAACUAGCUGUCCGGGGACUUGGUCUUUGGGUGGCGCAGCUAACGCAUUAAGUUAUCCGCCUGGGGAGUACGGUCGCAAGAUUAAAACUCAAAGGAAUUGACGGGGGCCUGCACAAGCGGUGGAGCAUGUGGUUUAAUUCGAAGCAACGCGCAGAACCUUACCAGCGUUUGACAUGUCCGGACGACUUCGAGAGAUCGAUUUCUUCCCUUCGGGGA